This 253-nucleotide ribosomal RNA is filed under the name uncultured bacterium. RNAcentral's name for it is "partial 16S ribosomal RNA". It matches the Rfam family "Bacterial small subunit ribosomal RNA", at positions 524 to 776 of the family's 1533-position model. The record is from RNAcentral.
UACGAGGGGGGCAAGCGUUGUUCGGAAUUAUUGGGCGUAAAGGGCGCGUAGGCGGUUUGACAAGUCUGAUGUGAAAUCUCUGGGCUCAACCCAGAGUCUGCAUUAGAAACUGUCGGGCUUGAGUAUGGGAGAGGUGAGUGGAAUUUCCAGUGUAGCGGUGAAAUGCGUAGAUAUCGGAAGGAACACCUGUGGCGAAAGCGGCUCACUGGACCAUAACUGACGCUGAGGCGCGAAAGCUAGGGGAGCAAACAGG